Molecule: transfer RNA, 85 nt
Filed under: Caldilineaceae bacterium
Lineage: Bacteria; Bacillati; Chloroflexota; Caldilineae; Caldilineales; Caldilineaceae
Description: tRNA-Leu
Rfam family: tRNA
About the family: Transfer RNA (tRNA) molecules are approximately 80 nucleotides in length.
Source: RNAcentral
GCCCCUGUGGUGGAACGGUAUACACAGCAGGUUGAGGGCCUGUGCCCAUUAGGGCGUGGGGGUUCAAAUCCCUCCAGGGGCACCA